Molecule: small nuclear RNA, 129 nt
Filed under: Echinops telfairi (small Madagascar hedgehog)
Lineage: Eukaryota; Metazoa; Chordata; Mammalia; Afrosoricida; Tenrecidae
Description: U1 spliceosomal RNA (ENSETEG00000026642.1)
Source: RNAcentral
AUACUUACCUGGCAGGGGAGAUACCAAGAUCACGCAGGUGGUUUUCCCAGGGCCUAUACUCAAGUCCUCCCUCAAUGCAAGAACAUUUUGUUCUAGUUACCUGGCAUUCUGUGAUGCUCACCUUGCCAA